Long non-coding RNA from Maniola jurtina (meadow brown), 3910 nucleotides. RefSeq lists it as uncharacterized. The record is from RefSeq and is a predicted model, not a curated record. The transcript is spliced from 2 exons. NCBI's taxonomy places the organism in Eukaryota, Metazoa, Arthropoda, Insecta, Lepidoptera, Nymphalidae.
AUUUAAUUCACCAGUAAUUGAAAAAAAAUUAAGAUUAAUUGAAUUGAAUUCAAGAUUGAUUGAAUUCAAGAUUAAUUGAAUUUGAUUCACCAGUAAUUGAAUUACUUUUGAAUAAUUUACCCAAACUACCGAAUUCAAGUAUGUACUAAAAAUGGUAGUGUUAAAUGAAAGAAGUUUUGUUUGUGUUGACAUGUAUUUAAUGUUUAUACCAUGUAACUACAAGUACCUACUACCAAUGCAAUGUCUAGAAAUAAAAGACAAACUAAAAAUAGAAAAUAAUUGUUACAUUAUUCUUAAUAAAACAUUAUGUAAAAUGCUAGAGUGCCUUUUGUAAUGUUUCGCCGAGUAUCUUAGGCAUGGUUUCGUGCUAUGUAUGUGUAACUUUAUAGAUAUGUACUGUGAGUUUUGUAAAAGUUCAAUCGUUAGCAGCUGCGUAAUCUAUACAUAUAAAAAGACUUGUCCCAAGUGACUAACUGACCUAACCUUAAAGUUUGAAAUUUUGAAAGAAAGUUCCUUUUAUGGCAUGCCUAGGUCCAGGCACUCUCACUAAGAAAGGAUUUUUGAAAUUUCCAGCCCUAAAGGCGUUAACAAGGUUCGAACCUUAGAUAGGGGAUGAAAGUUUGUAUGAUUAGUCACUUUUCAAGUUAUAUCCAUGAAAAUUGGUAUUUGGGCUUUCGGUAAAAAAUGAAGAAAUACAUUUCAGGAUUUUUUCUUGGAAAUUCCGCCCCAUCGCCGAUUUACAAAAAUUGCACUUGAACGAAGCCUGUAUGAUAAAAAUAUAGCACUCUCUAACGGUUUGGAACUCCAAUUUGACAUACAAAUAAUGAUUUGCGCAGCUGCUAAGCGUAAAACUUGGCAAAACUUACAGUAGCCCUACCAUACAUGUUAUGUUGUGAAUAUCAUAUUACAAGUAUAUUUGAGCGUGAUUUCGGUCAUUUGUAUAUAUGUAAUAUGUUGGGCAUAGACAGUUUAGUAGUAAAUGUUGUAAAAUCACUGGACCAUCCUUUACAAGUACCAACUCUAAUUGAAUACAUAAUUUUCAGAAGAAUUUAAUUACUUCUUCAAAAUUAAUGGAAUGCAUUAAAUCGUCUGAGAAGUUGUAUUCAAUUAAUUUUGCCAACGUUGAUUUCGUGUCCUCUAUGGUAAUUAUAAGGCGUUAAUACCAUUAUUAAUUUAAUUUUACAAUAAUUACUGCUAAAAAGGGAUAUAGGAAUUUGACAGUACCGUGUCAUUUUUGGUUAAAUUUUUCACAAUAGUCUCAUAAAACAUUUUUGUAUCAUUCUAAUUACAAAAAUAAACACAUACUACUGAAAACAAAAUAAAACAUAUCAAUUUCUCGUUCCAUAUAUACAUCGAACAUAAAGACAUAGUUAAGCUAUCACGACAUCCAAGUCCUAAUGCUAAAACAUUUAUUUUUUUCAUUAAUUUGAAAAUAUUUCCUAGAGAAAAAGAUAUGCAUCUAUUAUUCUGAUAACAAUGGGUUCUUUAAUCAGCUAUUUUUAGGACUAUUACUGUUUUUUUAUUUAAUUAAUUUUGUGCCGACUAUAUCACUGUUUACGAUAUGGAAACAAUUGACAUAUCAUUCAAAUAUUGCAUAUUUCUAAUCAAAGGAGUAAUUGGGAAUUUGAAAUUGCUGACAAUAUAAAAAUAUCCCUUUGAACUUUUCAAGUCUCAUUUUAUUAUGGUAUACUUAUUUGCCUUAGGGAUGAUUUUUCAACUGCCAAAUAAAUUUUAACUGACAAAUUUGUCUUAAGUUUGUCUAUAAGUAAAUAAAUAUGUAUUUUUAAAAUACUUUCAAUGCAAAAACAAUAAAAAUAUCUUUUGAAUGCGUCAGCUGAGUUUGACGAGUGAAAAAGCUUAUUUUGAUUCCAUUGUUAGCAACUUCUUUAAAUUAAGAGUGUGAAUUUUCACUGUUUGGUAGAAUUGAGUGCCAUAUCAUAAACAGUUAUAUAGACAUGCUACCACAAAGUUUACACCACACAUCUAUUCUAUAGUAUAAUAAUAACGAAAAAUACAGCAGUAUUCAUUAUGUCCGUGUAUCCACCUAAAUCUAUAAAACCAGUAAGUAACGGCUCAAAAUUUUGCAGGUUAACUAUAGUUAUAUUGUUUUGGUAUAGAAUUUUAAUAAAAAAAGUAAAUGGUCAAAUGUAUGGAAUAUGACUCGUGGAAAAGUGAUAUGAAAACUUUGACUGAUGGAAAAUAUUAAAUUAGUUGGUGAAUUUUGUGUGGCAUUAAAUUUUUUUUUCUAAUAAAGCCCCCACCAUUUUAACCGGAUCUCAGCAAUAAAAUUUAAUAUGUUUGUACAAUGAGUUCGUAUUUUUCCAAAAAAAAAAAAUACCUGCAAAAUCUGAACGUACUCAAUGAAAUAUUGUGCAGCCAGGCGAUAUUCAAAACUUACAUUUAAAUCCAAUCGUCACGUUUUACUUUUACUAUCAUUUUUAAGAAAAAUUUAUAGAAAAUCUGUUUACUGUCAUAUUUUUUCCACUAGUCGAAUAUAAUUGACAUCGCAAUGACACUUACUACUAGCCUAAAGAAGACGCUAAACUCUAUUUUUCUUAUAAUUACAUAUUUUGGUUCUUAAAAUGGAUAAAGGUAUACUUUUACUACACACAAAACUUAACCCACAGAACCUAUGCUAGGCAUUGCUGUCAAGUGCAGGAACAAAAAAUGAGAGGAUGAAUUUAACAUAUUUACUGUAAAUUUAGAACUGAUUUUACACACGCUAAAUAAAUUUUAACUGACGAUUAAAUAUGCCGUUAUAAUAAAAAAAAUUGUUUAAACGUUAAAUUUUAUCGCCAGUUAAACAUUAUUUCAAGGGUGAAAAUCGGAUCUUGUUUUAAUGUAUUUUCCAUAAAACUUGUCAAGACAUACUCAAAAUUGCUUUAUUCAUAACAUAUUUUUAUUUGAAGUCCUCAGUAAUUAAAGUUUUGUGUAUAAUAGAACUUAUACCAAUAGAUAUUAAAAUGAUCGUAUGAUGGUAUGUAUUUAGAAACGACUUGCUCCACUAUUGUUAAGCUGAAUUAUUACAUUCGGUAAAGAAAAUGACGAUUAUUAUUUAUUGAAACCAGAAUUUCCUUAUGCUUAACUUUUAGCGGCCAUAUUUUAGUAUUAAAAAAGGUGUAUUUUAAUACAUGAAAUAAAUAAAAUUCCAAAUAAAAAUUACUGAAUAUUUUGAAUUCAAUUAACUAAAAUUACAAUUUCAAUUCAAUUACAAUUUCAAGUUUGCAAUUAUAUAACUUUAUACUUCAAGUAAAUACUUCAAUUCAAUAAAUUAAUUAAUUAAAAAUCCUUAUUGUUAUGGCUGCUAAAAAAUAAGCAAAUAAUCCAUAAUUCGGAAAAGAAAAUAUUACGUAUAUGUCUAUAGGGACUAAUAUAACGGAAUGCCGCAAGCGGAAAAACGCACGCGCAGUUUUUCUCCGGCACUCUUUCCACUCAUGGCACAUUGCAUUGUAGCGAAUACAUUGCGCGUUUUUGCUCGCAUAAUUCCGUUGGAUUUUUCCCAAUCAGACGUCUCCAACAGUUCAUUUCAAUGCCACGAAACACAUGCAGAUGCGGAAAACAUGCACACUCGAAAGCAUGGGACCUAUCAUAAAAAAGUCCAAACGAAAGAAUAAAACACAAAAUCAUCUACCUCCAUAAACCGUUGUUGCUUUAUUCUCUUGUACAAAUUCACAACUGCCAAGGUUUUGUAACCGUACAACCAAAUUAGGCACGCAAAGAAUCAUAAUUAUUUAAAAAAAAUUAAGAUAAAAAAAUCAACACCUAUUUUGCGUCCUUGCGUACACACACACGUAUUCACGAAACUAAUUUUAUUUAAUUAAUUAAUUAAAACUAUCAAUUAAUUUUAUCCAUCACUAAAAAUGGGAUAAAGAUAAUUUUUUUUAAUAUACCGCUUUCUAAACUCGAAUUU